AGAGUUUGAUCCUGGCUCAGGACGAACGCUGGCGGCGUGCCUAAUACAUGCAAGUCGAACGAGGCUCAUUCGGUGGCAACACCGGAGAAGGCCUAGUGGCGAACGGGUGAGUAGCACGUGAGCAACCUGCCCCGAAGACUGGGAUAACACCGGGAAACCGGUGCUAAUACCGGAUGUCCCCACCGGAUCGCAUGGUCUGG
Molecule: ribosomal RNA, 200 nt
Filed under: uncultured bacterium
Lineage: Bacteria
Description: partial 16S ribosomal RNA
Rfam family: Bacterial small subunit ribosomal RNA
Source: RNAcentral